This 1460-nucleotide ribosomal RNA is filed under the name human gut metagenome. RNAcentral describes it as "bacterial LSU rRNA". It matches the Rfam family "Bacterial large subunit ribosomal RNA", at positions 563 to 2003 of the family's 2925-position model. The record is from RNAcentral.
CGUACAAGCAGUGGGAGCCUACUUUGUUGGGUGACUGCGUACCUUUUGUAUAAUGGGUCAGCGACUUAUAUUUUGUAGCAAGGUUAACCGUAUAGGGGAGCCGUAGGGAAACCGAGUCUUAACUGGGCGAAUAGUUGCAAGGUAUAGACCCGAAACCCGGUGAUCUAGCCAUGGGCAGGUUGAAGGUUGGGUAACACUAACUGGAGGACCGAACCGACUAAUGUUGAAAAAUUAGCGGAUGACUUGUGGCUGGGGGUGAAAGGCCAAUCAAACCGGGAGAUAGCUGGUUCUCCCCGAAAGCUAUUUAGGUAGCGCCUCGUGAACUCAUCUUCGGGGGUAGAGCACUGUUUCGGCUAGGGGGCCAUCCCGGCUUACCAAACCGAUGCAAACUCCGAAUACCGAAGAAUGUUAUCACGGGAGACACACGGCGGGUGCUAACGUCCGUCGUGAAGAGGGAAACAACCCAGACCGCCAGCUAAGGUCCCAAAGUCAUGGUUAAGUGGGAAACGAUGUGGGAAGGCAUAGACAGCCAGGAUGUUGGCUUAGAAGCAGCCAUCAUUUAAAGAAAGCGUAAUAGCUCACUGGUCGAGUCGGCCUGCGCGGAAGAUGUAACGGGGCUAAACCAUGCACCGAAGCUGCGGCAGCGACGCUUAGGCGUUGUUGGGUAGGGGAGCGUUCUGUAAGCCGUUGAAGGUGGCCUGUGAGGGUUGCUGGAGGUAUCAGAAGUGCGAAUGCUGACAUAAGUAACGAUAAAGCGGGUGAAAAACCCGCUCGCCGGAAGACCAAGGGUUCCUGUCCAACGUUAAUCGGGGCAGGGUGAGUCGACCCCUAAGGCGAGGCCGAAAGGCGUAGUCGAUGGGAAACAGGUUAAUAUUCCUGUACUCGGUGUUACUGCGAAGGGGGGACGGAGAAGGCUAGGCUAGCCGGGCGACGGUUGUCCCGGUUUAAGCGUGUAGGGGGGUGUUCCUGGUAAAUCCGGAACGCUAUCAACCCUGAGGCGUGAUGACGAUGCACUACGGUGCAGAAGUAGUUGAUGCCCUGCUUCCAGGAAAAGCCUCUAAGCAUCAGGUAACAUCAAAUCGUACCCCAAACCGACACAGGUGGUCAGGUAGAGAAUACCAAGGCGCUUGAGAGAACUCGGGUGAAGGAACUAGGCAAAAUGGUGCCGUAACUUCGGGAGAAGGCACGCUGGCGCGUAGGUGAAGAGACUUGCUCUCGGAGCUGAAGCCAGUCGCAGAUACCAGCUGGCUGCAACUGUUUAAUAAAAACACAGCACUGUGCAAACACGAAAGUGGACGUAUACGGUGUGACGCCUGCCCGGUGCCGGAAGGUUAAUUGAUGGGGUCAGCCGCAAGGCGAAGCUCUUGAUCGAAGCCCCGGUAAACGGCGGCCGUAACUAUAACGGUCCUAAGGUAGCGAAAUUCCUUGUCGGGUAAGUUCCGACCUGCACGAAUGGCGUA